GUCACUUGGCAGAGACGGGAAAUCACCACCAAAACUAGGCAUCAGACCACUUUGUGACCCUUCGUGGAUAUUCUCAUUUCUGGAGGGCCACUGAUCUCCAAGACAUGAGGAUUGUGCUGCUGUCGGACAGACUGGCAGGAAAGGCUUCAGCAGCAGACAUCAUCCUGGGCCGAGAGGAAUGUGAUUCUAACAUAGUCACUCUGCAGUGUGUGAAGAGGCAGGGAGAGGUAGCUGGCCGGCAGGUUACUCUGGUGCCACCCAAGCAUGGAGAUAUUAUGAAUAUAUGGUUCUUAUGACCACUCCCAUGGUUGUUAAGCAAGUGGAAUGCCAUGUCUUAUCACGUAGCUGUCUUGGGUGAAGCUGUCUGGAGCCACUCUCUAGUUCUGUUCAUUACCGACAAACCUCUGACAGAGUCAGCUUUUGAGGUUAAAGGAAGGGUGCUCCGGCGGCUUUUAGAGAAAUGUGGGGAAAGAUAUCAUGUCCUAAACACCACCGACAAGGAUGAUAGUCAAGUGACAGACCUACUGGAGAAGAUUGACAAAAUGGUGAUAGAAAGCAGAAACAGGGGCACUCACUUUGAGAUGGAUAGAGAGGUUUUGGAGGCGCAGAAGAGAGAGAAGGAGAAGCAGAAGUCUCAGGAGGUGAAGGCAGAGGAAAGAAUGAAGAUUGUGCAAAGAGGCCCAGAAAGCUCUCUAAAAGGAGAUACAUUCUUGCCAGAUCUCAGAAUCGUGUUGCUGUGUCGUGUUUCAUCAGGAAACACCAUCCUCAGCAGAGAGGAGUUUCAGCCUGGACCGAGAUCUGCUGUUUGUGUGCAGAGGCAUGGAUAAGUUUGUUUGAAUGGCAGGUCCCUGUAGUAGAGGCUCCAGGGUGGCAGGGUUGUUACACAUCACAGUACUCAGGAGGGAUUCUCAGAAGAGAGAUUGUGCUCAGUCAGUCUGUGUGCAAUCAGGGUCCCCACGUCUUUCUACUAGUCAUACGACUAGAUGUGGGUUUCACCAGAGUUACGUUGAGCUUCUCGGUGAGAGAGUGUGGAGUCACACGAUGGUGUUGUUCACCUAUGGGGACUGGCUGGGAAAUAUGACCAUUGAGCAGUACAUUGAGGGUGAAGGAGGGACCCUACACUGGCUCAUUGACAAAUGUGGGAACAGAUAUCACGUCUUCAACAAUCAGAAAAGAUGCGACCGGAGUCAGGUUGAAGAGCUGCUGGAGAAAGUUGAGGAAAUGGUGGCAGGGAAUGGUGGUCAUCAUUAUGAUAUAGACCAAAAGAUUGCUGAACAGAUGGAGGAGAAGAAGAGAGUGGACAACCAAGCCGCUGAAGAGAUGAUGAAGGUGAAGAAACAGAAGGAACGUCUCAUGGAAGGGAUGAAGAUAACACCUCUCUCCAACCUGAGGAUAGUUUUGCUGGGAUUUAAAUACGCAGAGAGGAGUUCAACAGGGAACACCAUUCUUGAAGGUUGGAGAUGAUGACCGUCCGAUAUAACGUCCUUGAUAAGCUCUGCCUAUGAAACUCAAGCGUCUCAACCCGAAACUGAAGUCCCCUCUGAACAUGCCUCUGUGAAGUCAGCAUCUGCUAGCUCUGGGAUAGGCUCUUUGAGUUCUGCUACACUUGGAGGCUCUGUGGAACAUUGGAAGACUAAUUCAGUUGAAUGCUCCAAUCAGCAGCAGAGGCACACAAAACCACGCUAUGUAGAAAACAUUUGUGCUUUUGCUGGUCUUUCAAAAUACUUCUGAAAUAUAUAUUUUUUUUUUUUUUAUCAAAUCUCAUGUGGUUGUUGUUCCACAAUGGUGGAACAAGCUACCAAGUGCUACCAGAUUAAGGGCAUCCCUCUCCAUCUUCAAUAAGCUCUGAAGAUCCAACUUUUCUGGGAAUACCUCCUCUCCUCACACAGUGCGCUCUCUUUUCUGUCUACUGUUACGAGGCGGUGCAGGCCCACACUCUUCUUUGUCUAGGGUAUUACUGUCAACACCAACAGCCUACCGCAACUCACAACAAACAGAAAAGAAACACAGAAAGACCCAACAGCUACCCUAGCCCUACGUGUAGGGAUGUCACGAUUAGAGAUUUUGGUGGUACAAUAAUUGUCUGAGGAAUAAUCACAAUUUCACGAUUAUUACGAUUAUUUUGCAUGAAUAUUUUUCACAACAGUACUAAUGUAUAAAAUCACACAAACACAUUCUUUAGAGGUUUUGGUCUUUAAAGGUUAUUUAUUGCUGUUUUUUCACAGUAAGACACUGCAUAGUAAUAAUAAAAUAAUCACUCUGCUUUGUAAACUAUAUCCGCAUUUCCCUUUUGGAAAAAAAUGUCAAAAGCUGUAGUCACUCUCCUGAUAAUUUAACACACCAUUAAAGAGUGUUUUAAUAUUUCCAGUUUGUGCAUUCUUUCAACAUUUGUUUUGGAGGUAGAUAAUGAAAACAUGGAAUAGGCUAGAUAGAAAUUGAAUUGAGAACAUCUAGACAACAUCCUAAAUUCUGCUCCACCCUCCACAGACACACACAGAAGAUUAUGGCUAAAUGUCAUGUUUCUAUGUCAUAUUCUUUGACUAUCGCCCUUCUAUGCUUUUAUUUAGUAUUACUGUUUGCUUUUGUUUAUGUAAAGCACAUUGAAUUACCUCUGUGUAUGAAAUGCACUAUAUAAAUAAA
This is an RNA transcript of Alosa alosa (allis shad), 2640 nucleotides long. It is a transcript of the gene named GTPase IMAP family member 9-like, with no coding region annotated. NCBI's taxonomy places the organism in Eukaryota, Metazoa, Chordata, Actinopteri, Clupeiformes, Clupeidae. The transcript has 5 exons. The record is from RefSeq and is a predicted model, not a curated record.